This 262-nucleotide ribosomal RNA is filed under the name uncultured bacterium. RNAcentral's name for it is "partial 16S ribosomal RNA". It matches the Rfam family "Bacterial small subunit ribosomal RNA", at positions 504 to 764 of the family's 1533-position model. The record is from RNAcentral.
UGUGCCAGCAGCCGCGGUAAUACAGAGGGUGCAAGCGUUAUUCGGAAUUAUUGGGCGUAAAGCGCGCGUAGGCGGACUGUUAAGUCAGAUGUGAAAGCCCUGGGCUCAACCGGAAGAAUUGCAUCCGAUACUGGCAAUCUAGAGUGUAGGAGCGGAGAAUGGAACUUCUGGUGGAGCGGUGAAAUGCGUAGAUAUCAGAAGGAACAUCAGUGGCGAAGGCGAUUCUCUGGCCUAUUACUGACGCUGAGGUGCGAAAGCUAGA